Molecule: ribosomal RNA, 485 nt
Filed under: uncultured bacterium
Lineage: Bacteria
Description: bacterial SSU rRNA
Rfam family: Bacterial small subunit ribosomal RNA
Source: RNAcentral
GAUGAACGCUAGCGGCAGGCUUAACACAUGCAAGUCGAGGGGCAUCGCGGGUGGCAACACCUGGCGGCGACCGGCGAACGGGUGAGUAACGCGUGAGCAACAUGUCCUCAGUCGGGGGAUAAGCGAGGGAAACUUCGUCUAAUACCCCAUAACACUUUCAGGCGCAUGCCUUUAAGUUGAAAGCUUUUUUGCGACUUUGGUUUGGCUCGCGUGACAUUAGCUAGUCGGUGGGGUAACGGCUCACCGAGGCUACGAUGUCUAGGGGUUCUGAGAGGAAGGCCCCCCACAUUGGGACUGGGACACGGCCCAAACUCCUACGGGAGGCAGCAGUGAGGAAUAUUGGUCAAUGGACGGAAGUCUGAACCAGCCAUGCCGCGUGAAGGAAGACUGCCCUAUGGGUUGUAAACUUCUUUUGCAGCAGAGCAAUAAGGCGUACGCGUACGCCGAUGAGAGUAUGUUGUGAAUAAGCAUCGGCUAACUCCGUG